RNAcentral lists this ribosomal RNA (253 nucleotides) under uncultured bacterium. RNAcentral describes it as "partial 16S ribosomal RNA". It matches the Rfam family "Bacterial small subunit ribosomal RNA", at positions 524 to 776 of the family's 1533-position model. The record is from RNAcentral.
UACAGGGGGUGCACACGUUGCUCGGAAUCAUUGGGCGUAAAGCGCACGUAGGCGGUUCGUUAUGUCGGAUGUGAAAGCCCUUGGCUUAACCGAGGAAGUGCAUCCGAAACUGGCGAGCUAGAGUACGAAAGAGGAUCGCGGAAUUCCCGGUGUAGAGGUGAAAUUCGUAGAUAUCGGGAGGAACACCGGUGGCGAAGGCGGCGAUCUGGGUCGAUACUGACGCUGAGGUGCGAAAGCGUGGGGAGCAAACAGG